ACUCCUACGGGAGGCAGCAGUGGGGAAUAUUGCACAAUGGGUAGGCAACCGUGAUGCAGCCAUGCCGCGUGAUGUAGCAAGAAUGGGCCUUUCGGGUUGAUAAAGCACUUUUCAGCGAGGAGGAAAGGGUGUAAGUUAAUACCUUACAUCUGUGACGUUACUCGCAGAAGAAGCACCGGCUAACUCCGUGCCAGCAGCCGCGGUAAUACGGAGGGUGCGAGCGUUAAUCGGAAUUACUGGGCGUAAAGCGUGCGCAGGCGGUUUGUUAAGCGAGAUGUGAAAGCCCCGGGCUCAACCUGGGAACCGCAUUUCGAACUGGCAAACUAGAGUCUUGUAGAGGGGGGUAGAAUUCCAGGUGUAGCGGUGAAAUGCGUAGAGAUCUGGAGGAAUACCGGUGGCGAAGGCGGCCCCCCUGGACAAAGACUGACGCUCAGGCACGAAAGCGUGGGGAGCAAACAGGAUUAGAUACCCUGGUAGGAUAG
RNAcentral lists this ribosomal RNA (482 nucleotides) under uncultured bacterium. Its description in RNAcentral is "bacterial SSU rRNA". It matches the Rfam family "Bacterial small subunit ribosomal RNA", at positions 335 to 798 of the family's 1533-position model. The record is from RNAcentral.